This 301-nucleotide ribosomal RNA is filed under the name uncultured bacterium. RNAcentral describes it as "partial 16S ribosomal RNA". It matches the Rfam family "Bacterial small subunit ribosomal RNA", at positions 509 to 809 of the family's 1533-position model. The record is from RNAcentral.
CAGUAGCCACGGGAAUACAGAGGGUGCGAGCGUUAAUCGGAUUUACUGGGCGUAAAGCGUGCGUAGGCGGCUUCUUAAGUCGGAUGUGAAAUCCCUGAGCUUAACUUAGGAAUUGCAUUCGAUACUGGGAAGCUAGAGUAUGGGAGAGGAUGGUAGAAUUCCAGGUGUAGCGGUGAAAUGCGUAGAGAUCUGGAGGAAUACCGAUGGCGAAGGCAGCCAUCUGGCCUAAUACUGACGCUGAGGUACGAAAGCAUGGGGAGCAAACAGGAUUAGAUACCCCUGUAGUCCCUGUCUCUUAUCC